CAGAAGGUAAAGCAGGCCAUCCUAGUGCGGUAUGCCAUUACCCCCGAGGCAUACCGACUCCAAUUCCGGGACCUGAAAAAGCAAGAAAAGGACUCCCAUGCAGAGUUUGUGCACCGCUUACACCAAGCAGCCACAGGAUGGAUUAAUGCGGCGCAAGCAACUACCCGGGAAGAUCUCAUUCAAUUACUUUUGUUGGAACAGUUCUACCGGAGACUAACUACUGAUAUGCAAAACUGGGUAAGAGAUCGUAAACCACGCAACUUACAAGAAGUGGCUAAAUUAGCGGACGAACAUCAAGACACGAGGCAAGAGCAACGCACACCACCUAAGGUAGCAAAGCACCUACCGGUCUACCGUGGCCAACCCCCCUCGAUCCGGAGGAGCCUACAAUCAGUACCAACCUAGGUACUCCAACCGGGCACACAUCCGAUGCCAUACCUGCAACCAACUAGGACAUGUACAACGCAACUGUCCCCGAAACAGGGCACAACCACCAGGGCCCAACUAAGGCCAACCGCCUGGCCCUAGAGCAGCAGUGCACUGCUACCAGACAGGAGCGUUCCUCCAGCCUCACACCACCACCCAGGUAGAAGAACCUCUAGGCACGCUCCACGAAGUUAACCCCGUGUAAAGCAGCAUCCGACAACCGCCAAAGCCAUCGACAAGUUGUCCAUGUGGAGGGGAAACGUAUGGAAGGGCUGAGAGAUUCCGGGGCCACCAUCACAUUGGUCAGAAACCACCUUGUCCCAAAAGACCAACUUACGGGAGAUUGCAUAGCCAUACAGGUGGCAGGGGGAGCAAUCUACAAGGUUCCCACUGCCAAACUGCAUUUGAAUUGGGGAGCUGGGGCGGGAAUAUGGAGGUGGGGAUGAUGCAAGACUUGCCCGCAGAUGUUAUUUUGGGAAAUGACUUGG
Pelobates cultripes (western spadefoot toad) is the source of this 914-nucleotide non-coding RNA. The record is from the annotation of a GenBank genome assembly. Lineage: Eukaryota; Metazoa; Chordata; Amphibia; Anura; Pelobatidae.